Molecule: ribosomal RNA, 483 nt
Filed under: uncultured bacterium
Lineage: Bacteria
Description: partial 16S ribosomal RNA
Rfam family: Bacterial small subunit ribosomal RNA
Source: RNAcentral
AUUGAACGCUGGCGGCAGGCCUAACACAUGCAAGUCGAGCGGAUGAAGGGAGCUUGCUCCUGGAUUCAGCGGCGGACGGGUGAGUAAUGCCUAGGAAUCUGCCUGGUAGUGGGGGAUAACGUCCGGAAACGGGCGCUAAUACCGCAUACGUCCUGAGGGAGAAAGUGGGGGAUCUUCGGACCUCACGCUAUCAGAUGAGCCUAGGUCGGAUUAGCUAGUUGGUGGGGUAAAGGCCUACCAAGGCGACGAUCCGUAACUGGUCUGAGAGGAUGAUCAGUCACACUGGAACUGAGACACGGUCCAGGCCCCUACGGGAGGCAGCAGUGGGGAAUAUUGGACAAGGGCGAAAGCCUGAUCCAGCCAUGCCGCGUGUGUGAUGAAGGUCUUCGGAUUGUAAAGCACUUUAAGUUGGGAGGAAGGGCAGUAAGUUAAUACCUUGCUGUUUUGACGUUACCAACAGAAUAAGCACCGGCUAACUUCGUG